UACGGGGGGGGCAAGCGUUGUUCGGAAUUACUGGGCGUAAAGGGCGCGUAGGCGGCUUUUCAAGUCGGGCGUGAAAUCUCCGGGCUUAACUCGGAAAGGUCAACUGAUACUGUGCGACUAGAGUGCAGAAGGGGCAACUGGAAUUCUCGGUGUAGCGGUGAAAUGCGUAGAUAUCGAGAGGAACACCUGCGGCGAAGGCGGGUUGCUGGGCUGACACUGACGCUGAGGCGCGAAAGCCAGGGGAGCGAACGGG
RNAcentral lists this ribosomal RNA (253 nucleotides) under uncultured bacterium. RNAcentral's name for it is "partial 16S ribosomal RNA". It matches the Rfam family "Bacterial small subunit ribosomal RNA", at positions 524 to 776 of the family's 1533-position model. The record is from RNAcentral.